This 34-nucleotide small RNA is filed under the name Arabidopsis thaliana (thale cress). RNAcentral describes it as "ATSL295830". Lineage: Eukaryota; Viridiplantae; Streptophyta; Magnoliopsida; Brassicales; Brassicaceae. The record is from RNAcentral.
CUAACGAAGAGAAUAAGAGAAGAACGAUCAACAG